This 23-nucleotide non-coding RNA is filed under the name Rattus norvegicus (Norway rat). Lineage: Eukaryota; Metazoa; Chordata; Mammalia; Rodentia; Muridae. The record is from RNAcentral.
UGCCAAAUUCCACAAACAAGACC